Molecule: non-coding RNA, 88 nt
Filed under: Selenihalanaerobacter shriftii
Lineage: Bacteria; Bacillati; Bacillota; Clostridia; Halanaerobiales; Halobacteroidaceae
Description: c-di-GMP sequence
Rfam family: c-di-GMP-I riboswitch aptamer
About the family: GEMM was predicted in a large-scale screen for bacterial structured RNA regulatory elements. Genes associated with GEMM are involved in a diverse array of functions, including chemotaxis regulation, signal transduction, secretion and chitin.
Source: Rfam by way of RNAcentral
AAUUUUAGAGGGCAAACCUGUUGAAAAGCAGGGACGCAAAGUUAUGGGGCUAAAUCCUUUAAAGGAUUUAGCUUGCCAGACUGCAUUU